This 277-nucleotide ribosomal RNA is filed under the name uncultured prokaryote. RNAcentral's name for it is "partial 16S ribosomal RNA". It matches the Rfam family "Bacterial small subunit ribosomal RNA", at positions 524 to 801 of the family's 1533-position model. The record is from RNAcentral.
UACGUAGGGGGCUAGCGUUAUCCGGAUUUACUGGGCGUAAAGGGUGCGUAGGCGGUCUUUCAAGUCAGGAGUGAAAGGCUACGGCUCAACCGUAGUAAGCUCUUGAAACUGUAAGACUUGAGUGCAGGAGAGGAGAGUGGAAUUCCUAGUGUAGCGGUGAAAUGCGUAGAUAUUAGGAGGAACACCAGUGGCGAAGGCGGCUUUCUGGACAGUAACUGACGCUGAGGCGCGAAAGCGUGGGGAGCAAACAGGAUUAGAUACCCCCGUAGUCCCUGAG